Molecule: ribosomal RNA, 495 nt
Filed under: uncultured bacterium
Lineage: Bacteria
Description: partial 16S ribosomal RNA
Rfam family: Bacterial small subunit ribosomal RNA
Source: RNAcentral
UGAACGCUGGCGGCGUGCCUAAUACAUGCAAGUCGAGCGAACAGACGAGGAGCUUGCUCCUCUGACGUUAGCGGCGGACGGGUGAGUAACACGUGGAUAACCUACCUAUAAGACUGGGAUAACUUCGGGAAACCGGAGCUAAUACCGGAUAAUAUAUUGAACCGCAUGGUUCAAUAGUGAAAGACGGUUUUGCUGUCACUUAUAGAUGGAUCCGCGCCGCAUUAGCUAGUUGGUAAGGUAACGGCUUACCAAGGCAACGAUGCGUAGCCGACCUGAGAGGGUGAUCGGCCACACUGGAACUGAGACACGGUCCAGACUCCUACGGGAGGCAGCAGUAGGGAAUCUUCCGCAAUGGGCGAAAGCUUGACGGAGCAACGCCGCGUGAGUGAUGAAGGUCUUCGGAUCGUAAAAAUCUGUUAUUAGGGAAGAACAAAUGUGUAAGUAACUAUGCACGUCUUGACGGUACCUAAUCAGAAAGCCACGGCUAACUACGUG